This 301-nucleotide ribosomal RNA is filed under the name uncultured bacterium. Its description in RNAcentral is "partial 16S ribosomal RNA". It matches the Rfam family "Bacterial small subunit ribosomal RNA", at positions 509 to 809 of the family's 1533-position model. The record is from RNAcentral.
CAGUCGCCACGGUAAUACGAAGGGUGCAAGCGUUACUCGGAAUUACUGGGCGUAAAGCGUGCGUAGGUGGUGGUUUAAGUCCGUUGUGAAAGCCCUGGGCUCAACCUGGGAAUUGCAGUGGAUACUGGGUCACUAGAGUGUGGUAGAGGAUAGUGGAAUUUCCGGUGUAGCAGUGAAAUGCGUAGAGAUCGGAAGGAACAUUUGUGGCGAAGGCGACUAUCUGGGCCAACACUGACACUGAGGCACGAAAGCGUGGGGAGCAAACAGGAUUAGAGACCCGUGUAGUCCCUGUCUCUUAUAA